Ictidomys tridecemlineatus (thirteen-lined ground squirrel) is the source of this 6698-nucleotide non-coding RNA. Lineage: Eukaryota; Metazoa; Chordata; Mammalia; Rodentia; Sciuridae. The record is from RefSeq and is a predicted model, not a curated record.
AGUUACGGGAGGCAGGAUCAGGAAGGCAGAGCAGGUGCCUGUGGCUGGCGCUGGCAUCCUGGACCCACGAGACGAGUCCUCUUGUGUACACCUUCUUGCAGAGAAGCUCAGCUCUGUGUGGCCUGGCCCCUUUUCCAGGGUGGGAGACAAAGCCCCUGGUCCAUCUCCAAUGGAGUCGUUGUAUGCUGUUCUCCUAUCGACUGUCAGAAUGGGAGCAGCGAAAGCAGAAAGAACAAAGACUCCUUCUUUUUAUUUUUGUCUUCAAAUCUCCAGCUGAAGCAGUGUAUAUUGGAUCACUUACAUGGGAGAUGUUCUUGGGACUCUUCCAGAUUAUUUUAAGAAGGCAGGCAUUUUCUGAAAAUGAGCAUUCUGCUUUUGGGUUAAUUUUUGAAGGCCAUCUGUGAUUGAUUUACUAGAGUGCUAAUAAUAUUUUGCUUUCCUCUGUUUUGUCUCCAAAGCAUCCCAAACUUUGUCCCCAGCCCUGUAUACAUACCUAGCUCAGCUGCAAAGAGGCUGGAGUCACAGACUGUAGGACCACUCAGCAUUCCCAGUGUCUCCUCACCCUGAUGGAGUCGGGGAGCAUCUUCUAUCAUGUUGACACCUGACCAUGAGGAUUUGUGUUCUGGGAUGUCUUCUCCACCCUCAGAAAAUGAAACCAGAGAAGAAAAGCAUGGAGGAGGAGCUGCUCUCGUUGCAGGGCCCACUCUCCGUGCUCUACGUGAUCCUUUUUCUUUUGCUCUGAGCCUUUUGGCUUUAAUAGAACCUGCUUAAAAUUUAAAGGACCAAGGGGUCCCUGACAGAGAACUGAUGGCAAAGGCGAGAGCGGCCAGAAGAGGGCAAUUCCAGGUAAACAUGGUGUUGGUCUCUGGGAUCUGGGCCCUAAUUCUAUGCUGGAGUCCUCCAGAGAGCACAGGGGGAGCUGAUUACCUGGCCUGUUUCCAGUGUCCUCUUGACACUACUAUCCUGUCCACGUGGCUCAUUAGAGGAGCUUGUUAGAGCUCUGUGGUGGAAUCGACCUUCAGUGCUGUUGGCCUGGCUGGCCUAUUUUCCCUGAUGCUGCCACGUACAGCUCCAUUUCAGCUUUGUGCUGCUGCCCGCUGCUCUCCUCAACCCACUCUCUGUAGCCUCUGUUGCAGAGCUGGACCUUUUGGGCCAAUCGGAAUCCCUUCCCAGGACUUGGGAAUUGGCUGAGAGAAGGUUAAUGGCUGAGCCUGCAAUGUGUGCACCUGACAGUCAUUUUCCCCAAGAAAACCAGUGUUUCUCACCUCUGCAUCCGGUCCCCUUCCUCUGGUCCUUGCCUCUGGACACACCCUAUUUUUGUUUUCAUGAUAAUUUUUUUUUAAAGCCAUCUUGAGAUGUUUUCUAAACUUGCAACAGAGAAUUUUAACUUUUUUGAGCUUUUGGACUUAAUACUCCAUUGUAAUCUGUUCACUGAAGCUGUGGUGUUAGGUCCUUUUCCCCUGUAGGUAAAUUAAUUUUGUUCAGUCCUGAAGCAAUCGUCUAUCUCCUUAUCUAUUUUCACAAGGUGAGGAAGGAGGCACGGAUCAGCACUACUGGUAGAUUAACAGCUGAAAAGUAAAUGUACUUUAGAGAGUGAACAUCUAUUAUCUUGGAAUAUGAUUGAUGGCACCUUAUCUGUUUUGUUUUGUUUUUUUCUCCAGGCAGCCUACAACCCGAGGUUGUUAAGAACAAAUCUUGUACACAGAAGCAGUUGCUUUACUUGAUGUCCUCAGAAAGAUACGAGCCAGGAAGACUGAAAGUCUUUGCUGUUGUCAAAUCGAAUGGGAAAGGGAAUGAGCAGGGGUGAGGGUCAGGAGGCUGUGGGGAUAGAUGUAGGGUCAGAGGGACUGCAGGCUGUUGCAAAGUUUCAGAGCACGGCAGGGCUAUGUCUCCACACUCCUUCCUCAGUGUCCCCUGAGAGACAGCCAGGAGGGCAAUAUGGCUGCUGCAGCCACAAGCUGGGUGGUUUAAAACAACAGAAAUGUUUUGUCUGAUAGCCCUGGGAGUGAGCCGUCCAAAAUUAACGUGUUCUCAGGGCCACGAUCCCAGUGAAACCCACAGGGGAAAAUCCUGCCUUGGGGUUUUCUUGCUCCCAGUCGUUGCAGGGGCUCCUGGAGUUGGAGUGCUGUUAGAACUUUGUCACCACGUGACAUUCUCCCUGUGUGUCUUCACGUCCUCUUCCACCUGUGCAUUUGUGUCCGUGGUUCCCUGUUCUUAUAGUGACCCCCAGUUCUAUUGGGUGAGGCACCCACCCUACCACAGCAUGACUUCAUCCUAACCAUUUACACUUGUGACAACUCCAUUUCCAGAUAAGGUCACAUUCUGAGAGACCAAGGGUUAGGGCUUCAAUAUUUUUUUCAGGGGGUGGGGGCAAAGUUCAAACCCUCAGAACUUGACUUGAAGCAGUGUCAGUGUCCUGAGGAGCCUGAAGCCGUGAGGAUGUUCAGGGGGGCCUAGGAGCCUCAGCAAAUGUAGCAGGUUGGAAACUAGCACAGGGCAGUGUUUGUGAGUGGUCAGGAUGGAGAAUCUGACCUAUAGGAGGAAACAGGCAGGCAUGUGACCCUGGGGAAAACUUUUUUUUUUUUUUUAAUAUAUAUGCAAUCUUAAUCUCUCUUUCUCUGCCCAUAUCAUUUAUUUAUUUUUUAAAAUAACUUUUUAAUUUGUUUUAAUUAGUUACACAUGACAGUACAAUGAUCUUGACAUAUACAUUUGAAUGAGAUGGGAUAUAAUUUCUGGGGAAAACUUUUGCUGAAAAUAGAAGGGGCAAUUGUGAGGAUGGAAUUGAGUCCGCUUUCCUCUAUCGCCUCCAGAUGUAGCAAUUAUUAGCACGUAUGGGAAAAUGUUAAAAGCUCUGCUCUGGUUUGCACAUGGUUUGAGAGUGUCCCCCAUAGGUUCAUGGCUUGGUUCCCAGUGUGCUCAUAUUGAGGUGGUAGAAUCUUCAAGAGGUGGGCCCCGGUGCUAUUAUUAGGUCAAUGGGGCCUCACCCUCAGAAAGGGUUAAUGGUGAGAGGUCUUGUGAAGUGGAGUUAGUUCACAUUUGAGCUGGUUGUUAUAAAAUGAAGCUACCUCAGGCACCUGUCCCUUUCUGCACAUGGCCUUUCCCUUUCCAUUUCUCUAUCACAGCCAGAGGGACCCACAUCAGAGGCCAAAUAGAAGAAGGUGCCUGAUCUUGGGCUUUCGGACUAUGAGCUAAACAAACUUUUUUUCCUUAUAAAGUACCCAGCCUCAGGUAUUUUGUUAUAGAACAGAAAAUGAAACUGAUUCAAACUCUGUAACACAUGUUGGAACCCUAUGGAUAGCAGUAAGUGAUGCCAAAAAUAUGUUAUCAAGGUGACUAUGAUUCCAUCUAUACCCAUAUGUUGGUGAGGUUUGGGAAACCCCGCUUUUAUCAAAAUCAGACAGGAGACAGCAAGGAAGUUAUGGAGGAAGAGAAAGCAAGAAGCCUUUUCUCUUUACAUGAGAAAGUUCCAUCCUCAUAUAGUUUGGCACCUGAAAAAUAAAGUGGGAUCUUUUAGUAGGAGUUCAACAAAGGGAGAUAGGGCUCAAACAGGUCUAUAAUCCCAGCAUAGAAACUAGGGGACCAUUGAGGAAUGGAGGCAGAAGUUCCAUUGAAUGGCUUGGGCAUGUGUGGUUGGAAUUAUGGAAAGAUUGAUGCCAAGGAUAACUCAUAAUUAGAUACUGGAUUUAUAGAAUCAUGAUUGCUAGAAUGCCCUAUUUGCCCCUCUACCUGAAGGGGUAGAGCUGUCUCCUUCACAUUUCCGUUUCUAUCACAUAACACAGGGCAGGUUUUUAAAUCAAGGGCUGGAGUGAAUAUCUGUUGGAGGAAUGAUGAGAUGCCGGCCCACGUUGGUCAGGAUGGGCUCAGCAAUAGGGCGAGACUAAGGCUGUGUAAUCAGAUUCCACAGUUGGGAGAGGCAGGGGGCCAGGGACUGAGGUGUUCCAUCCUAGAGUUAUGCAUUCUAUCCCUGGUGCUGAGUGAGGAGGCAGCAAAGGUAGUAGAGAGGGAGGAAGCUGCACAGCACCGACUCCCACUGGGUGGGCUCCUGCUAAUUAAGUUUCAUUAUCAGGUUGAUAAUAUAUCAAUAGGUAUUCCAUAUUCAAAUGUAAGAAUUUAUUAUCUUCUCAACUGAAAGAUGAAUUUGAAUCAUGCUGUCAUUGUUUCUUUUCUUCCCUUAAUUGGUUAUAUUGAUUUCUUCUGUCUGGGAAAUAUAUCAGAACGAAUGCAUAAUUACCAUGAAGAAAUCUCAUUCCCGUUAAAGUACUAGAAAUAUUCCUGGGAUAGUUAAUACUCCACUGAGUGCCUAGACCCCCACUGUCAGAGCCCACGAGUGCAAAGGCAGAAAAUUAGAUGGAAAAAUUCGAACAUCAAUUCUAGUCAUAGCUUUGGAAGUAAUAUUAAAGGGUUUUUUUUUUUUUCCAAUUCAAAGUAACUCCCAAUAAAGGGACUUCCAUUGACUUUGCAGAGAUCUGACCAUGUAGCUACCACUCGAACUUUUAGUGAUAGUCGCCUCAUCCGUGGGCCAGCUUUACCAUUGGCCAACAGAUUGAGAGUCUGACAGAACAGGUCUGGGAACCAAGAACGUGUGUUGUCAUGCCGAUGGUGUUGUGUUAUCAAGUUCUAACAAUGGUUGACCAUGUUUUGAAACCACUGUUUCAGACUGGUGGUUUUCAAAAUUAUUCCAGCCAAGUAGACUAUAGAUAGAAACUAAAUCUUACACAGAAGCAGAAUGUUUGGGAGAGAUCAGAGAGUAGGAGAGUCAUUAGGCCGCUCUGAAUUCACGGAAUCCUCAAAGUAGACAAUUGUCUAGUGAUGAGGGUGCGAUCUAGUCAUAAAUGUGUUUUUUAAAAAAAAUUUUAGUUAUAAAUGGACACAAUUCCUUUAUAUCUUUAUUUUUAUGUGGUGCUGAGGAUCAAACCCAUUGUCUCACAUUUGCUAGGCAAGCACUCUAUCCCUGAGCCACAUCCGCAGACUUAAAUGUCAGUUCCUACUAUAGCCUAUCCAGUGUGUGUGUGUGGGGGGGGGCACACACACUCAAGUGUGUAUGAUGCUAGAGAUUGAAUCCAGGGUCUGGCACAAGCUAGGCAAGCACUCUACCACUGAGCUACAUUCCCAACCAUUUUUGUGUGUGUGUGGAGGGGUGGUGCAGGGCUUUGCUAAAUUGCUAACCUCAAAUUUGUGAUCCUCCUGUCUCAGCUCCAAAGCAGCUGGGAUUAUGGGCAUUUGCCACUACGUCCAACUGCAGCCUAUCAACUUCUAAUGACUAACUCAAAUGAUAGGAAAAUAGGCCUAUGAGUGAGUGAGGGGGUAUCACAAUUUGAAUAUGGUCCAGGCAUCACUGGUUCAUAGAAAAACCUCUGUGGAAGCCAAAUAGAGAAAACUGAUAGAAGAGGAGCUGCGAUUAGCUCCAAGGCCUUCUUGCUCUAAUGUCCCUGCCCGCUGUGCCCCCAGUGGUGAAGAACUGCGUAGUGCUCAUGGUUUGCAAACGAUGCUUAAAAGUUGUUGAUCUAGAUCUUCUCCCGUUUGCCAACAUCUCUCUUAAUCUGUAGGAAAUAAAGUGGUUCAUACUCAACCUCUGGAAGGAUACAGGUGUAACUUAUUGCAAGAAAACAAUUUCUUACCAUUUUGCCACAAGCACACAGGAGCCCAAACCAUGUCCCUAGACAUUGCUUCCUCUGGCAGAAGCUUCCAUUGCUUCAUUCCCUGAAGGGCCUCAGGGAGUCCCUUCUCUCUCUGAUGUCCCUAGGUCUUGGUUCCAUGCCUGACAUGUCUUGGAUUUUCCCUGGAAGGAUGCAUGAGAUUCCUCACUUUCUGUCACAGGACUACAAUGACCUGUUUCAGAUGCUUCAGAAUGGAACAAUCCUAAUGCCUCUCAGAGCUACUAUGAUAACAGUCUCGGCUUUGGAUCCUGUCUUAGAAAGACCCUCUUCCAACCAGGAUGAAGUGAAGGGAGGGAUGAGGAGCACGCGAGAGGUGAAAACCUCGUCUCCAUAUGCAUGGCCCGCACCGAUCCGGGCUGAUCAUCACCUUCCAUUCUCAUUCUACGACACACAUUUCCUUCACAUUUCAACAUCUCUGAGCCUGGAUGACAGCUGACCAUCAAUGGUGUGUCUCAGUUUAUUUGGCAGGUUAUUUCUUCCUUCUAUAUAGAAUAGUGGUGCAUUUCCAAUAAGAUGGAGACUUAGUAAUUUGAACUGGCUUUUCCCCUAUCUGAAAGUGGUUUAUCUCAAUGAUCACAAAUCAACAUCCAUGGGCAUGACCUUUCAAUUUUCUUUGAAUUUGCUCUGAACAAAUGGCAGCUUUCCUGUAUGCCUUGAGGAAAGAUAAGAAUUAGUUUUUCUAAGACCAUCCAAGCCAAUGACUCUAUUUUUAAAGACAUUUUAUUAACUCAAUCAGCAACUUUGAAUUGAAUAUCUAGUAUGAAUCCUAACCAUAGUUCUAAAUGUAAAUAUAUACACAGUGUUCCCCCUUGACCCCAGGGGAUACAUUCUAAGACAUUCCUUGGAUGUGAAUAGUAUUGAGCCCUAUAUAAACUCCAUAUUUUUAUAAACACACACACACACACACACACAGAUAUAUAUGAUACAGUUUAAUUUAUGAAAUAGUCUUAAGUAAGAAGUUAACAACAAUAACUAGCAAUAAAAAUAGGACAAUUAUAAUAAUCUACUCUAAUAAAAGUUAUUUAUGACUUUUGAACUUUU